CUCCCUUUCCCCCCGCGUCUCUCUGAGAGCUGAUCUGAGCUGCUGCUAAGGACCGAAACGCGCCUCAAGCUGUCACUUGCCGCCUGGAGUUCGUUGGGAAAGUUGAAAAAGCCUAGUCCUGUUUAGGAAAUCUAUCCAGCUGUGUAUAUACUUUUUGCUUUUAGGGUAUGAAGCUCAGGAAGGAUAAGAAAAACAAGAUCACACAGCUGGCAAGUGGCAAAGCAGGACACAAUUUAUAACUCCAGAACGAGAAUUUGCAGUUGUUGCGCCAGAUGCCCUGUAGCGGACCUCUCUGCAUAGCCAUGACUAUUCCUGGAACUCACUAUGUAAACCAGAGAUCUGCUUGCCACUGCCUCCCUAGUGCUGGGAUUAAAGUGGCUCGUCUGGGUUCAGGAAAGUAUAGCUCCAGUUUAGUGUUCUUAUGGAUCAUCGACUGUACCCAAGACCAGAAACGGAAACAACUAGAUCAUCUUCAACUGAACAACGGAGACAGAAACGUGAUACAGGGGACUCUGGUUCAAUUCCCAGCACCCACAUGA
Molecule: long non-coding RNA, 539 nt
Filed under: Mus spicilegus (steppe mouse)
Lineage: Eukaryota; Metazoa; Chordata; Mammalia; Rodentia; Muridae
Description: lncRNA (ENSMSIG00000009165.1)
Source: RNAcentral